This 114-nucleotide ribosomal RNA is filed under the name Zingiber officinale. The record is from RNAcentral. Lineage: Eukaryota; Viridiplantae; Streptophyta; Magnoliopsida; Zingiberales; Zingiberaceae.
GCGAUCAUACCAGCACUAAUGCACCGGAUCCCAUCAGAACUCCGAAGUUAAGCGUGCUUGGGCGAGAGCAGUACUAGGAUGGGUGACCCCCUGGGAAUUCCUCGUGUUGAACCU